AGACGUAGGGGGCGAGCGUUGUCCGGAAUUACUGGGCGUAAAGAGCACGUAGGCGGGAACUUAAGUCAGAUGUGAAAGACCGGGGCUCAACUCCGGGAUUGCAUUUGAAACUGGGUUUCUUGAGGGCAGGAGAGGAAAGCAGAAUUCCUGGUGUAGCGGUGAAAUGCGUAGAAAUCAGGAGGAAUACCAGUGGCGAAGGCGGCUUUCUGGACUGACCCUGACGCUGAGGUGCGAAAGCGUGGGUAGC
This 247-nucleotide ribosomal RNA is filed under the name uncultured bacterium. Its description in RNAcentral is "partial 16S ribosomal RNA". It matches the Rfam family "Bacterial small subunit ribosomal RNA", at positions 523 to 769 of the family's 1533-position model. The record is from RNAcentral.